UACGUAGGGGGCGAGCGUUGUCCGGAGUUACUGGGCGUAAAGGGCAUGCAGGCGGUCGGACGCGUUUCGGGUGACAGCGGGUGGCUUAACUACCCGAGUGGUCGAAAGACGGUUUGACUUGAGGACGCGAGAGGGACACGGAAUUCCGGGUGGAGUGGUGAAAUGCGUAGAGAUCCGGAGGAACACCGACGGCGAAAGCACUCUGCUGGGCCGACACUGACACUGAGAGACGAAAGCUAGGGGAGCGAAUGGG
Molecule: ribosomal RNA, 253 nt
Filed under: uncultured bacterium
Lineage: Bacteria
Description: partial 16S ribosomal RNA
Rfam family: Bacterial small subunit ribosomal RNA
Source: RNAcentral